RNAcentral lists this ribosomal RNA (655 nucleotides) under uncultured bacterium. RNAcentral describes it as "bacterial SSU rRNA". It matches the Rfam family "Bacterial small subunit ribosomal RNA", at positions 31 to 695 of the family's 1533-position model. The record is from RNAcentral.
GAACGCUGGCGGCGUGCCUAAGACAUGCAAGUCGCACGAGAAAGUUCCCGCAAGGGAGCGUGUAAAGUGGCGCACGGGUGCGUAAUAAUUAGGUAAUGUGCCCUAUCGCUGAGAAUAACCAGGCGAAAGCUUGGCUAAUACUGAAUACUCCGGGAGAGACUGCGGUCUUUUUCGGGAAAGCCGUAAGGCGCGAUAGGAAUAGCCUAAUUCUCAUUAGCUAGUUGGUAGGGUAAUGGCCUACCAAGGCUACGAUGGGUAGCUGGUCUGAGAGGACGAUCAGCCACACUGGUACUGGAACACGGACCAGACUCCUACGGGAGGCAGCAGUUAGGAAUUUUGCGCAAUGGACGAAAGUCUGACGCAGCAACGCCGCGUGAGGGAUGAAGGCCUUCGGGUUGUAAACCUCUUUUAGUCGGGACGAAAAAAAUAUGACGGUACCGACAGAAACAGCACCGGCUAACCCUGUGCCAGCAGCCGCGGUAAUACAGGGGGUGCAAGCGUUACUCGGAAUCACUGGGCGUAAAGAGCGUGUAGGCGGUUUAGCAAGUCUGGUGUGAAAUCCCUGGGCUCAAUCCAGGAAGUGCAUUGGAUACUGCUAGACUAGAGUAUAGGAGAGGUGAGUGGAAUUCCCGGUGUAGAGGUGAAAUUCGUAGAU